RNAcentral lists this unclassified non-coding RNA (1351 nucleotides) under uncultured Neocallimastigales. RNAcentral's name for it is "partial contains internal transcribed spacer 1, 5.8S ribosomal RNA, internal transcribed spacer 2, and large subunit ribosomal RNA". The stretch from base 597 to 1351 matches the Rfam family "Eukaryotic large subunit ribosomal RNA", at positions 1 to 617 of the family's 3401-position model. Lineage: Eukaryota; Fungi; Neocallimastigomycota; Neocallimastigomycetes; Neocallimastigales. The record is from RNAcentral.
AAAAUAAUCCUACCCUUUGUGAAUUUUGUUUGUUUGAAUAAUUUUUUUUUUUAAAAAAUUAUUGGAGUCUUUCCCUUUAGAGUUUGCUUUUGAGUUUGUAAAAGAAUUCGAAAACAUCUAAAGGGGAUGGUCAAUAAUUUUUUUUGAAAAAAGACAUUUUUUAAAAUUAAACUUUUUGUAUUCAUUUGUCUAAAAAUUAUUUUUUAUAAUAUAAAAACAACUUUUGACAAUGGAUCUCUUGGUUCUCCCAACGAUGAAGAACGCAGCAAAAUGCGAUAAGUAGUGUGAAUUGCAGAAUACGUGAAUCAUCGAAUCUUUGAACGCAUAUUGCACUUUUUUAGUUUACUAAAAAAGUAUGUCUGUUUGAGUAUCAGUAAAAUAUUCUCAUAAAAAUCAUUGUGUAUUUUUAUGGUUAUGAGUGUUUUACAACGAUACAAGUUGUUUCACUUUAAAUUUUUUUUUAAUAUUGAAAUUUUUCUAAUUUUAAUAAUUAAAAUUGGAUAAAAUUUUCCCGUCAAAAGGAAUAACCUAAACAAUUUAAACGAUUAAUUUUAGCAAAAUUUUCGAAAAAAAGGAAAAUUUUUAUUAAAAUAACUUGAUCUCAAAUCAGAUAAGAGUACCCGCUGAACUUAAGCAUAUCAAUAAGCGGAGGAAAAGAAACUAACAAGGAUUCCCUUAGUAACGGCGAGUGAAGCGGGAGAGCUCAAAUUUGAAAUCUUCAAGGUUUUACCUUGACGAAUUGUAGUUUAAAGAAGUGUUUUCUGCUGAAGUUUUGGUAAAAGUUCUUUGGAAUAGGACAUCAUAGAGGGUGAGAAUCCCGUAUUUGACCAUUAUUUUCAGCUUUGUGAUACACUUUCAAAGAGUCGGAUUGUUUGGGAAUGCAGUCCAAAAUGGGUGGUAAAUUUCAUCUAAAGCUAAAUAUUGGCGAGAGACCGAUAGCGAACAAGUACCGUGAGGGAAAGAUGAAAAGAACUUUGAAAAGAGAGUUAAACAGUACGUGAAAUUGUCAAAAGGGAAGCGUUUGACACCAGUGUUGUUUUCUCGAGAAUCAAUUAAAAAUGGCUCGAUUUUGUAUUGCUUGAGACCUUAAAAGCUCAUUGUACAUUUUUCGUGUCUUUUUUAAUGCACUUUUCGUUUAACAAGUCAACAUCAGUUUCUUUUGUUGUAAAAGGGUCAUUGGAAGGUGGCUUUCUUUUCGGAGAAGUGUUUAUAGCCUUUGGCCUCUGCAAUCGGAGAGACUGAGGUCUGCAGCGUAGACUCUUCGGGUUAGAUACAUUUGUGCUAAGUUAUAGCUUUUAUAGACAACUUGUUGACUAUAAUUAGUCUUGUAGCUUACUCGCUUAUGCUAUUU